AUUGGACGCUGGCGGAAUGCUUUACACAUGCAAGUCGAACGGCAGCACGGACUUCGGUCUGGUGGCGAGUGGCGAACGGGUGCGUAAUGUAUCGGAACGUGCCCAGUCGUGGGGGAUAACGUAGUGAAAAUUACGCUAAUACCGCAUACGAUCUAUGGAUGAAAGCGGGGGAUCGCAAGACCUCGCGCGAUUGGAGCGGCCGAUAUCAGAUUAGGUAGUUGGUGGGGUAAAGGCCCACCAAGCCAACGAUCUGUAGCUGGUCUGAGAGGACGACCAGCCACACUGGAACUGAGACACGGUCCAGACUCCUACGGGAGGCAGCAGUGGGGAAUUUUGGACAAUGGGCGAAAGCCUGAUCCAGCCAUUCCGCGUGCAGGAUGAAGGCCCUCGGGUUGUAAACUGCUUUUGUACAGAACGAAAAGGUUUCUACUAAUACUAGGAGCUCAUGACGGUACUGUAAGAAUAAGCACCGGCUAACUACGUGCCAGCCGCCGCAGUAA
This 500-nucleotide ribosomal RNA is filed under the name uncultured bacterium. RNAcentral's name for it is "partial 16S ribosomal RNA". It matches the Rfam family "Bacterial small subunit ribosomal RNA", at positions 30 to 523 of the family's 1533-position model. The record is from RNAcentral.